Long non-coding RNA from Passer domesticus (house sparrow), 1087 nucleotides. RefSeq lists it as uncharacterized. NCBI's taxonomy places the organism in Eukaryota, Metazoa, Chordata, Aves, Passeriformes, Passeridae. The record is from RefSeq and is a predicted model, not a curated record. The transcript has 3 exons.
AGUAGUUUCCCACCGGGCUGAUGCCCAGCAGGGUGCUGGAGCCCAGAUAACUCAGCAGAAGCUCAAGCAACCUAAGCAAGCUAUAGUGAUUUUCAGCUCUUAGUGAUUAUCAGCUCAGUGAUUUUCGGCUCUUUAGCUUGCUAGGUGCUGCAGCAGCAGAUGCAGGGAGAGAGAGGAGAAGACCCUGUGAGGUUCCGCAGGAUUCUUUAUUCAGGUGUUCUGUGAAGGGUCCCAGUGACCGUUCUUCUCCCGAACCAGGCAGAAUCAGGGGUUUUUAUACCCUACAGGGGUUUUGAAAACUGUCCAAUAGUAAGGGUCAGGGGAAAGUGACCUAUGGGCUUACAGAGAGAUAAGCAGGGUCCAAAAGGCAGAAGAGAGGGGCUGCUAAGGUCCAGUCAUGCUGACUUGUCAUUUCCUAGCUCAGGCUUCUGACCUCCAAGGAGGCCUUGCAGGCCUUGAGCCUGCUACACGGGACCUUUCCCUAGGAAACAAAACUCACCAGCCCACUUUCCUGAUGUCUGUUUCCAGAAGGCCCUUGGGACUCUCAAGCAGCCUGAGUUUCCUUUGGUCUGGAAGGCAUCCUGCCGAUUUGUGGAACCUCAGCAACGAGCUGGUUACUCAGAGUCACAGGUCCCUGAACAAAAAUGCUGGCCUUUUCCCUAGGAAAAAAUACCUCAACAGCCCAGGCACCGGGUGUCAGUUUGAAGAUAACAUUUGAAGAAAGGACGUGAUGAAGACCCCUGCUAUUGACACUUUGACUACCAACAACUGUCACCUGCUGAAACCACAGAACAGGGGGCCGUUGUGAGGAGGUGACACACAACCCUCAAAACCACAUCUACAGUUACUGCACAUGCUCUAAAAAGGGAAUCUGGAUCCACUGAGGACCAUCUCCUUUGACUCUCAUUCCUCCCAGCCUCCCUCCCCAGCCCUGGUAAGGCUUUAAUGCUGAGGUGUUUAACAAAUGAAUAUACCUUUAUGCACUGUGCCUGUCUUCCCCAAGACCUUACUGAAAUGUUGUCAGAGGCAGAGGAGAUACAUUGCAUGGCCUUAUCAUCAAGAAAAAAACCCCCGUGUAUUGACAAAG